Molecule: ribosomal RNA, 650 nt
Filed under: Oxyrrhis marina
Lineage: Eukaryota; Dinophyceae; Oxyrrhinales; Oxyrrhinaceae
Description: partial Bacterial small subunit ribosomal RNA
Rfam family: Bacterial small subunit ribosomal RNA
Source: RNAcentral
CGCCUGGGGAGUACGGUCGCAAGAUUAAAACUCAAAUGAAUUGACGGGGGCCCGCACAAGCGGUGGAGCAUGUGGUUUAAUUCGAUGAUACGCGAGGAACCUUACCAGGGCUUAAAUGUAGUGCGACAGGGAUGGAAACAUCUUUUCCUUCGGGCGCAUUACAAGGUGCUGCAUGGUUGUCGUCAGCUCGUGCCGUGAGGUGUCAGGUUAAGUCCUAUAACGAGCGCAACCCUUGUCGUUAGUUGCCAGCAUGUAAAGAUGGGGACUCUAACGAGACUGCCGGUGCAAACCGAGAGGAAGGUGGGGAUGACGUCAAAUCAUCACGGCCCUUACGGCCUGGGCUACACACGUGCUACAAUGGCCGGUACAGAGGGCAGCCACUACGCGAGUAGGAGCGAAUCCUUAAAACCGGUCUCAGUUCGGAUCGGAGUCUGCAACUCGACUCCGUGAAGUCGGAAUCGCUAGUAAUCGCGAAUCAGCAUGUCGCGGUGAAUACGUUCCCGGGCCUUGUACACACCGCCCGUCAAGCCAUGGAAUCUGGGGGUACCUGAAGUCCGUCACCGUAAGGAGCGGCCUAGGGUAAAACUGGUAACUAGGGCUAAGUCGGAACAAGGUAGCCGUACCGGAAGGUGCGGCUGGAACACCUCCUU